RNAcentral lists this ribosomal RNA (622 nucleotides) under uncultured cyanobacterium. RNAcentral describes it as "bacterial SSU rRNA". It matches the Rfam family "Bacterial small subunit ribosomal RNA", at positions 50 to 716 of the family's 1533-position model. The record is from RNAcentral. Lineage: Bacteria; Bacillati; Cyanobacteriota.
UACACAUGCAAGUCGAACGGAGUAGCAAUACUUAGUGGCGGACGGGUGAGUAACGCGUAAGAUCUAGCUUCAGGUUCGGGACAACAAUUGGAAACGAUUGCUAAUACCGGAUAUGCCUACGGGUAAAAGGCUUGCUGCCUGAAGAAGAGCUUGCGUCCGAUUAGCUAGUUGGUGGAGUAAAGGCUUACCAAGGCGGCGAUCGGUAGCUGGUCUGAGAGGAUGACCAGCCACACUGGGACUGAGACAAGGCCCAGACUCCUACGGGAGGCAGCAGUGGGGAAUUUUCCGCAAUGGGCGAAAGCCUGACGGAGCAAUACCGCGUGAGGGAAGAAGGCUCUUGGGUUGUAAACCUCUUUUCUCAGGGAAUAAAAAAAUGAAGGUACCUGAGGAAUAAGCAUCGGCUAACUCCGUGCCAGCAGCCGCGGUAAUACGGAGGAUGCAAGCGUUAUCCGGAAUGAUUGGGCGUAAAGCGUCCGCAGGUGGUACAACAAGUCUAGUGUCAAAGACCGGGGCUCAACCCCGGGAAGGCGGUGGAAACUGUUGAACUAGAGGGUCGUAGGGGUAGAGGGAAUUCCCAGUGUAGCGGUGAAAUGCGUUGAGAUUGGGAAGAAACAUCGGUGGC